Small nucleolar RNA from Lolium rigidum, 107 nucleotides. The record is from RefSeq and is a predicted model, not a curated record. Lineage: Eukaryota; Viridiplantae; Streptophyta; Magnoliopsida; Poales; Poaceae.
AAGCUCAUGAUUGGGGCAUUUGAGCAUUAAAGUCUUCAAUCUCUCCCAUGCUUGGGCAAUACUUUCUCCAUCAUGAGGCCAAAAAUUAUAUAUAUGGUUUCGAUCUU